CGAUUUCUCCAUAGGUUGAAUU
Molecule: small nuclear RNA, 22 nt
Filed under: Arabidopsis thaliana (thale cress)
Lineage: Eukaryota; Viridiplantae; Streptophyta; Magnoliopsida; Brassicales; Brassicaceae
Description: snRNA_17886
Source: RNAcentral